Molecule: transfer RNA, 73 nt
Filed under: Loxodonta africana (African savanna elephant)
Lineage: Eukaryota; Metazoa; Chordata; Mammalia; Proboscidea; Elephantidae
Rfam family: tRNA
About the family: Transfer RNA (tRNA) molecules are approximately 80 nucleotides in length. Their secondary structure includes four short double-helical elements and three loops (D, anti-codon, and T loops). Further hydrogen bonds mediate the characteristic L-shaped molecular structure. tRNAs have two regions of fundamental functional importance: the anti-codon, which is responsible for specific mRNA codon recognition, and the 3' end, to which the tRNAs corresponding amino acid is attached (by aminoacyl-tRNA synthetases). tRNAs cope with the degeneracy of the genetic code in two manners: having more than one tRNA (with a specific anti-codon) for a particular amino acid; and 'wobble' base-pairing, i.e. permitting non-standard base-pairing at the 3rd anti-codon position.
Source: Rfam by way of RNAcentral
GCCAGGGUGGCCCAGUUGUUAAGGCACUCGGUUGUAAACCGAAAGGUCAGUGGUUCAAACCUACCCAGUGGCU